Molecule: small nucleolar RNA, 92 nt
Organism: Pantherophis guttatus
Lineage: Eukaryota; Metazoa; Chordata; Lepidosauria; Squamata; Colubridae
Product: small nucleolar RNA U3
Source: RefSeq, a predicted model, not a curated record
AAGACUAUACUUGCAGGGUUCAUUUCUAUAGUAUCUAAUUAGAGAAAUUGAUUGCACUCAAAAGUGAUCACCUGAGAGUACAAUGGCUCAGC